Molecule: long non-coding RNA, 1618 nt
Organism: Callithrix jacchus (white-tufted-ear marmoset)
Lineage: Eukaryota; Metazoa; Chordata; Mammalia; Primates; Cebidae
Source: Ensembl
AUGAACUUAUGUAGUGGACAUUGGAGCAGUCUUUCUGUUAGUGCUGGCAUUCCCAGUGUUAGAAGGGACCCUAUUCAGUCAACAUGUAUUUAUCAGUUGUUUCAGAGGGAAAAGGAGUCUAUUAGAGGAUAUGAAGAUACUUUCAAAAUCACCAGAGGGCCGGAAAGUCAGGCUUGUGGGCCAGGAGGUCAGAACAAGGCUGAAACCAACCACACCCUGGGAGUGAAUCAGAAAGGGUCUCUGCAGCUGCCCGCAAGUCUGGAACCCCACAGCACAGCACAUGCCACUGUUGCCCCUAGGAGCUGGACACCAUCACUGCCACCCUUUCUAGGAAAUGGAUUCUGCACCGCUGCAUUGCUCAUGAGCUCAAUUCCAAAUGAAGCUGUUUGUGAGAAUAUCUGAUUGGCAGAGCUUGGGUCACAUGGUGAGGUCGAGCUGCAAGGGAAUCAGGGAAAGUCAGUUUUCUGGCUUCAGCUGUGGGGAUGUAAGAACCCCUAAGGUAGGAAAUUCCCCAAAUACAGGAAUGAUGUCAAGGAUUUGGGGCUUAACUGCUUUCACAUCAUCACAUGGUCUGCUGUGGUCAGGAGGGCUGGAGAGGGGCAGGGAGGGUCAAUCAUCUUUGUAGAAAUAAAAAAGAAUACAGCCGGGUAUGGUGGCUCACGCCGGUAAAGCCAGCACCUUGGGAGGCUGAGGCGGGUGGAUCACGAGGUCAAUAGAUGGAGACCAUCCUGACCAACAUGGUGAAACUCCUUCUCUACUAAAAACACAAAAAUUAGCCAGGUGCCGUGACACAAGACUGUAGUCCUUGCUGCUCGGGAGGCUGAGGCAAGGAGAAUCACUUGAACCCAAGAGGCAGAGGUUACAGUGAGCCAAGGUUGCACCACUGCACUCCAGCCUGGCGACAGAGCGAGACUCCAUCUCUAAAUAAAUAAACAAAUAGCCUCAAAUAACCAAACCCAAACAUUUGGGAAAUUCAAAAAAUGCUACCUCCUGAAAACUAUGUCUAUAUAUUUGCAAUAAACGUAACAAACCCUCUCAAUAGGUGGUACUCAAGGGAGCUGUGCAGUGAGUUUGGAUGAAUGUUUAACCAACACUGAACAAACAUCCGGAUUAAAAGGCGUGUUAUUCCAGGUUACAGUUUCUCUCAAGCUAAGGGCAGAUGCUUUCUCUCAAAGACACAAACUGGAAAGGCCUGACUCAGUUGCCCAAAUUAGGUUUGUCCGUUGGGUCGUGGGUCAAGGACUGGAAGGACCCAAUGGGACAGAAAUCUGAGACGGAAGCAUUUUGGCACAUCCAGAGGAAGAUGGGUUAAGGAAGCAAGAUGAAGGUCGGGCAGAGAAGCUGCUUUCUUAAGAAAAAGCUGCAUUUUUUCUUAAAGCAACUUGUAAUGAGAUCAUGAGUUUCAUUGAUGCAGGAAGCUGGUUGAGUUGGCAGAGUGGUUUUUUGCAUUAACAGAAACAAAUUACUGCUUGAUUCAGAUAAUAAAUAAUGCACUUCUAAACACAGAGCGAAAUCUAUUAAACAAAUGGCUGCGGAAUAAAAGGUCAAAAUGAAACUGGGGCAAGAUGAUUUUUAUGCAGCUCAAUAUUUUCUGUUUAUAGUCUGACUUGGAGCCAAA